This 73-nucleotide transfer RNA is filed under the name Ursus americanus (American black bear). It matches the Rfam family "tRNA". From Rfam's summary of the family: Transfer RNA (tRNA) molecules are approximately 80 nucleotides in length. The record is from Rfam by way of RNAcentral. Lineage: Eukaryota; Metazoa; Chordata; Mammalia; Carnivora; Ursidae. RNAcentral also lists the same sequence under 2 other names.
UCCUGCCUAGCUCAGUUGGUAGAGCUUGAGACUCUUGAUCUCAGGGUUGUGAGUUCGAGUGGCAUGUUGGGUG